Molecule: non-coding RNA, 45 nt
Filed under: Schistosoma mansoni
Lineage: Eukaryota; Metazoa; Platyhelminthes; Trematoda; Strigeidida; Schistosomatidae
Source: RNAcentral
AUCCAUCUGAUAAGUCCUAAAUUGGACGAAAGGCGCUUCAUGGAU